AUUGCCCUAGUAACGGCGAGUGAAGCGGCAACAGCUCAAAUUUGAAAUCUGGCCCUUGCGGUCCGAGUUGUAAUUUGUAGAGGAUGCUUUUGGUUAGGUGCCUUCCGAGUGCCCUGGAACGGGCCGCCAUAGAGGGUGAGAGCCCCGUCUGGUUGGACACCGAGCCUCUGUAAAGCUCCUUCGACGAGUCGAGUAGUUUGGGAAUGCUGCUCUAAAUGGGAGGUAUAUGUCUUCUAAAGCUAAAUAUUGGCCAGAGACCGAUAGCGCACAAGUAGAGUGAUCGAAAGAUGAAAAGCACUUUGAAAAGAGGGUUAAAAAGUACGUGAAAUUGUUGAAAGGGAAGCGCUUGUGACCAGACUUGGGCCCGGUCAAUCAUCCAGGGUUCUCCCUGGUGCACUUGGCCGGCCCAGGCCAGCAUCAGUUCGUCGCGGGGGAUAAAGACGUUGGGAAUGUGGCUCCCCCGGGAGUGUUAUAGCCCUUCGUGCAAUACCCUGCUUUGGACUGAGGUUCGCGCAUCUUGCAAGGAUGCUGGCGUAAUGGUCAUCAGCGACCCGUCUUGAAACACGGACCAAGGAGUCGUCUUCGUAUGCGAGUGUUCGGGUAUCAAACCCCUACGCGUAAUGAAAGUGAACGCAGGUGAGAGCUUCGGCGCAUCAUCGACCGAUCCUGAUGUUCUCGGAUGGAUUUGAGUAAGAGCAUACGGGGCCGGACCCGAAAGAAGGUGAACUAUGCCUGUAUAGGGUGAAGCCAGAGGAAACUCUGGUGGAGGCUCGCAGCGGUUCUGACGUGCAAAUCGAUCGUCAAAUAUGGG
Molecule: ribosomal RNA, 811 nt
Filed under: Nectria synnematosa
Lineage: Eukaryota; Fungi; Ascomycota; Sordariomycetes; Hypocreales; Nectriaceae
Description: Nectria sp. RHP-2022a partial large subunit ribosomal RNA
Rfam family: Eukaryotic large subunit ribosomal RNA
Source: RNAcentral